AUUUCCAUUUUUAAUUCCUUCAACUGUUUGAUUGUGUUUUCCUGGAAUUCUUUCAGGGAUUUUUGCGAUUCCUCUCUGUAGGCUUCUACUUGUUUAUUAAUGUUUUCCUGUGUUUCCCUAAGUGUGUUCAUGUCUUUCUUGACGUCCUCCAGCAUCAUGAUCAAAUAUGAUUUUGAAACUAGAUCUUGCUUUUCUGGUGUGUUUGGAUAAUCUAUGUUUGUUUUGGUGGGAGAAUUGGGCUCCGAUGAUGGCAUGUAGUCUUGGUUUCUGUUGCUUGGGAUCCUGCGCUUGCCUCUCGCCAUCAGAUUAUCUCUUGUGUUACUUUGUUCUGCUAUUUCUGACAGUGGCUAGACUGUCCUAUAAGCCUGUGUGUCAGGAGUGCUGUAGACCUGUUUUCCUCUCUUUCAGUCAGUUAUGGGGACAGUGUGUUCUGCUUUCGGGCGUGUAGUUUUUCCUCUCUACAGGUCUUCAGGUGUUCCUGUGGGCCUGUGUCUUGAGUUCACCAGGCAGCUUUCUUGCAGCAGAAAAUUUGGUCUUACCUGUGGUCCCGAGGCUCAGGUUCGCUCGUGGGGUGCUGCCCAGGGCUCUCUGCAGCGGCAGCAACCAGGAAGACCUGUGCCGCCCCUUCCGGGAGCUUCAGUGCACCAGGGUUCCAGAUGGUCUUUGGCUUUUUCCUCUGGUGUCCGAGAUGUGUGUGCAGGGAGCAGUCUCUUCUGGUUUCCCAGGCUUGUCUGCCUCUCUGAAGGUUUAGCUCUCCCUCCCACGGGAUUUGGGUGCAGAGAACUGUUUAUCUGGUCUGUUUCUUUCAGGUUCCGGCGGUGUCUCAGGCAGGUGUCCUGCCGCUCCUGGUGAAAUGGAGUCUUAAGAGAAGACGACCAACAACCUAUGCAGUGGUGUGAUUUGGACAUGGAAAGUCCUUCACACGGGCCUGUUUUGCAUCCUUGUUACCCUGCCAUGAACCUACCUAGAAUGAUUGUCCUCUGAGAGGCUCUACCAGCAACUGACUGAGGCAAAUACUCACAAACAUUGGACUAAGGUCAGGACCGCUAUGGAAGAGUUAGGGAAAACACUGAAGGAACUGAAGCAUGGCAGCACCAUAGGAAGACCAACAGCAUUAACUAACCUGGAUCCCUGGGAGUUGCAAGAGACCAAGCCAUCGACCAAAGACCAUACACAGGCUGGUAUUAGCCCGGAGCACAUAUGCAGCAGAAGACUGCCUUGUCUGGCCUCAGUGGAAGAGGAUGCGUCUAAUUCUGUUGAGAUUUGAUGCCCCAAAGAGGGAGGAUGAUCAGGACAGGGUAUCUUCCCAGAGGUGAAGGGGAGGGGGAAUGGAGGGAAGAACUCUUAGGUAAGGUACUAGAACAAGAGCAGCAUUUGGGAU
Non-coding RNA from Rattus norvegicus (Norway rat), 1381 nucleotides. The record is from RefSeq and is a predicted model, not a curated record. Lineage: Eukaryota; Metazoa; Chordata; Mammalia; Rodentia; Muridae.